GUGCCAGCCGCCGCGGUAAUACGGGGGGAGCAAGCGUUGUCCGGAAUCAUUGGGCGUAAAGGGCGUGUAGGUGGUUUUGUAAGUCGAAUGUGAAAUCUCACGGCUCAACCGUGAAAUUGCGUUCGAAACUACAUAACUUGAGUUAGGGAGAGGUGUACGGAAUUCCUGGUGUAGCGGUGGAAUGCGUAGAUAUCAGGAAGAACACCAAUGGCGAAGGCAGUACACUGGCCUGUAACUGACACUGAGGCGCGAAAGCGUGGGGAGCAAACAGGAUUAGAUACCCUUGUAGUCC
Molecule: ribosomal RNA, 292 nt
Filed under: uncultured bacterium
Lineage: Bacteria
Description: partial 16S ribosomal RNA
Rfam family: Bacterial small subunit ribosomal RNA
Source: RNAcentral